GGAUUAGAUACCCUGGUAGUCCACGCCGUAAACGAUGUCUACUAGUUGUUGGGAGACUUGAUCUCUUAGUAACGAAGCUAACGCGAUAAGUAGACCGCCUGGGGAGUACGGCCGCAAGGUUAAAACUCAAAUGAAUUGACGGGGGCCCGCACAAGCGGUGGAGCAUGUGGUUUAAUUCGACGCAACGCGAAGAACCUUACCUGGCCUUGACAUGCAGAGAACUUUCCAGAGAUGGAUUGGUGCCUUCGGGAACUCUGACACAGGUGCUGCAUGGCCGUCGUCAGCUCGUGCUG
RNAcentral lists this ribosomal RNA (293 nucleotides) under uncultured bacterium. RNAcentral's name for it is "partial 16S ribosomal RNA". It matches the Rfam family "Bacterial small subunit ribosomal RNA", at positions 775 to 1067 of the family's 1533-position model. The record is from RNAcentral.